CCUACGGGCGGCAGCAGUGAGGAAUAUUGGUCAAUGGACGAGAGUCUGAACCAGCCACGUCGCGUGAAGGAUGACUGCCCUAUGGUUUGUAAACUUCUUUUAUAAAGGAAUAAAACGAGGCACGUGUGCCUUUUUGCAUGUACUUUAUGAAUAAGGCUCGGCUAACUCCGUGCAAGCAGCCGCGGUAAUACGGAGGAUCCGAGCGUUAUCCGGAUUUAUUGGGUUUAAAGGGAGCGUAGAUGGGUUGUUAAGUCAGUUGUGAAAGUUUGCGGCUUAACCGUAAAAUUGCAAUUGAUACUGGCAGUCUUGAGUACAGGUGAGGUAAGUGGAAUUCGUGGUGUAGCGGUGAAAUGCGUAGAUAUCAAGAAGAAUACUGAUUGCGAAGGCAGCUUACUAAACUGUGACUGACAUUGAUGCUCGAAAGUGUGGGUAUCAAACAGGAUUAGAUACCCCUGUAGUC
This 460-nucleotide ribosomal RNA is filed under the name uncultured bacterium. RNAcentral describes it as "partial 16S ribosomal RNA". It matches the Rfam family "Bacterial small subunit ribosomal RNA", at positions 338 to 795 of the family's 1533-position model. The record is from RNAcentral.